UCCGUAGGGUGCGAGCGUUGUCCGGAAUUAUUGGGCGUAAAGAGCUUGUAGGCGGUUUGUCGCGUCUGCCGUGAAAAUCCGGGGCUCAACCCCGAACUUGCGGUGGGUACGGGCAGACUAGAGUGUGGUAGGGGAGACUGGAAUUCCUGGUGUAGCGGUGAAAUGCGCAGAUAUCAGGAGGAACACCGAUGGCGAAGGCAGGUCUCUGGGCCACUACUGACGCUGAGAAGCGAAAGCGUGGGGAGCGAACAGG
This 253-nucleotide ribosomal RNA is filed under the name uncultured bacterium. RNAcentral describes it as "partial 16S ribosomal RNA". It matches the Rfam family "Bacterial small subunit ribosomal RNA", at positions 524 to 776 of the family's 1533-position model. The record is from RNAcentral.